This 214-nucleotide long non-coding RNA is filed under the name Mytilus galloprovincialis (Mediterranean mussel). The record is from RNAcentral. Lineage: Eukaryota; Metazoa; Mollusca; Bivalvia; Mytilida; Mytilidae.
UGAUUUUUUAAAAUUUUGAGAUACGUAUUAUUAAUUGUUUGUAUAGUACAUAUAGUCUUUGUUAAUCUGUGAAAAAUAGAAGAAAAUAAUUUUAAACGACGAUCAACGGCAUUACGGGAUCGUUAAAACACGGUCAAUUUGACAUGUUUGAGAUUUUUAUUCCUUUUGAUAAUAAACUCCAUGCUUAACAAAUCGAAAUAAAUCUAUUUCAGAC